Molecule: long non-coding RNA, 743 nt
Organism: Cinclus cinclus
Lineage: Eukaryota; Metazoa; Chordata; Aves; Passeriformes; Cinclidae
Exons: 2
Source: RefSeq, a predicted model, not a curated record
CCGGGCAGGCACGGCAGGACGGGGCUCGGGAAUCGCCCUCUGCUUCGUUCCUGCGGGGAUUCUGAGGAAGGAGCGACCUGAAAUGCGCUCAAAGGGUCUUUGAGCAGCUGCACAAAGGCGGACACAGCCUGUGCGCGCACUCUCAGUGACCUGCGGAAAUAACAAGAGAAAAGAAGCGCGGAGAAAAGUUACCGGCUGACACCCCGCUCCCCGGCCGGCAGGGAGCCGCUGCCCGUGCGCCUUUAAAGCCGUUUCCUCUCUCCCGCCGGAGCACGAAGCUGCCGCGGCGGGUGACGCCGUCGCCUUUUCUGUCCCCCACCGCCGCAGCGACUCCGGCAGGACAGCGGCUCGUUCCCCACUCUGGCCGCCGGCACGGUCACCCGAACGCGGCCCCGCGCAGGAACCCACGGCUGCCUGCCCCGCGCGGCGCGCUGAGAGCGCGGGGGGAACCCAGCGGCCCCCGGCGCGCCGAGCUCAGCUUCGCCCCCCCUCAAUUAUAUAAACGGCCCUUACCCACCCCGCACCGAGGAGGCUGCGGGCAGACAGCGCUUCCGUCAUUUCCAGGCACUAUAAAUAGCGCCCGAGCCUCCUCCCGCCAGCAAAGUUGCCUCGGCGGCCCCGCGCACACCGGAGACGGCAGCCCUCCCCCCCGGCCAGGGCGCAGCACGGAGCUCCUCUAGCAGCCACCUUCCACCCGACAUCCCCCCCAAAUCCUCCAAAAAAAUAAAUGCCGGCAAAGGGAA